This 401-nucleotide unclassified non-coding RNA is filed under the name Hevea brasiliensis (rubber tree). Lineage: Eukaryota; Viridiplantae; Streptophyta; Magnoliopsida; Malpighiales; Euphorbiaceae. The record is from RNAcentral.
GAGUGUAUUUGAGCAUGUAAGUAAAAAAACAAUUAUUAUAUUUAAUAUUCUUUGUUACUUUAUUUUGAAUCUUUUCAAUUUUAAGUUUAACUUAUUUGUUACUAUAAAAUUAAUGGUAGCUUCAUAGUAAAAAAAGAAAUCGGCUAUUCUAAGAACUCUUGGACAAACUGAUUUAUGUGAAGUACAAUAUAGCGUUGCUAUGCCAUUAUACCUUUGGGGAUAUCACCAUGUCAAUUGAUUUAACAAAUAUUAAUGAAAGUAAAGAGAGGUUGCUUGGUGAAUCAGAAAAGGGAGAUUGGGAUGAUGAUGAUAAUACUCUUGCUUUCAUGAAUAAUGUGUUGACUUGGGGUGAUGUUGGUAGGGCGGCUGGAGUUUCUGAAUCUCGUUAUUAAUCGAGAUCG